GAUGAACGCUGGCGGCGUGCCUAAUACAUGCAAGUCGAGCGAACAGACGAGGAGCUUGCUCCUCUGACGUUAGCGGCGGACGGGUGAGUAACACGUGGAUAACCUACCUAUAAGACUGGGAUAACUUCGGGAAACCGGAGCUAAUACCGGAUAAUAUAUUGAACCGCAUGGUUCAAUAGUGAAAGACGGUUUUGCUGUCACUUAUAGAUGGAUCCGCGCCGCAUUAGCUAGUUGGUAAGGUAACGGCUUACCAAGGCGACGAUGCGUAGCCGACCUGUGAGGGUGAUCGGCCACACUGGAACUGAGACACGGUCCAGACUCCUACGGGAGGCAGCAGUAGGGAAUCUUCCGCAGUGGGCGAAAGCCUGACGGAGCAACGCCGCGUGAGUGAUGAAGGUCUUCGGAUCGUAAAACUCUGUUAUUAGGGAAGAACAAAUGUGUAAGUAACUAUGCACGUCUUGACGGUACCUAAUCAGAAAGCCACGGCUAACUACGUG
RNAcentral lists this ribosomal RNA (497 nucleotides) under uncultured bacterium. RNAcentral's name for it is "partial 16S ribosomal RNA". It matches the Rfam family "Bacterial small subunit ribosomal RNA", at positions 28 to 507 of the family's 1533-position model. The record is from RNAcentral.